CCUACGGUUGGCUGCAGUGAGGAAUAUUGGUCAAUGGUCGGGAGACUGAACCAGCCAAGCCGCGUGAGGGAGGAAGGUACAGAGUAUCGUAAACCUCUUUUGUCAGGGAACAAAGACUGGGUCGCGUCCCCGGACGAGUGUACCUGAAGAAAAAGCAUCGGCUAACUCCGUGCCAGCAGCCGCAGUAAUACGGAGGAUGCGAGCGUUAUCCGGAUUUAUUGGGUUUAAAGGGUGAGGAGGCGGUCUGUUAAGUCAGCGGUCAAAGCCCGGGGCCUAACCCCGGCCCGGCCGUGGAAACUGGCAGGAUGGAGUAGGAGAGAGGUAUGCGGAAUGCGCGGUGUAGCGGUGAAAUGCAUAGAUAUCGCGCAGAACUCCGAUUGCGAAGGCAGCAUGCCGGCUCCAGACUGACGCUGAGGCACGAAAGCGUGGGUAUCGAACAGGAUUAGAUACCCGGGUAGUC
RNAcentral lists this ribosomal RNA (460 nucleotides) under uncultured bacterium. RNAcentral describes it as "partial 16S ribosomal RNA". It matches the Rfam family "Bacterial small subunit ribosomal RNA", at positions 338 to 795 of the family's 1533-position model. The record is from RNAcentral.